CCUACGGGCGGCAGCAGUGGGGAAUAUUGCACAAUGGGGGAAACCCUGAUGCAGCGACGCCGCGUGAAGGAAGAAGUAUCUCGGUAUGUAAACUUCCAUCAGCAGGGAAGAAAAUGACGGUACCUGUCUAAGAAGCCCCGGCUAACUACGUGCCAGCAGCCGCGGUAAUACGUCGGGGGCAAGCGUUAUCCGGAUUUACUGGGUGUAAAGGGAGCGUAGGCGGUGUUGCAAGUCAGAAGUGAAAGCCCGCGGCUCAACUGCGGGACUGCUUUUGAAACUGUAUGACGAGAUUGCAGGAGAGGUAAGUGGAAUUCCUGGUGUAGCGGUGAAAUGCGUAGAUAUUAGGAAGAACACCAGUGGCGAAGGCGGCUUACUGGACUGUAAAUGACGCUGAGGCUCGAAAGCGUGGGGAGCAAACAGGAUUAGAUACCCGAGUAGUC
RNAcentral lists this ribosomal RNA (440 nucleotides) under uncultured bacterium. Its description in RNAcentral is "partial 16S ribosomal RNA". It matches the Rfam family "Bacterial small subunit ribosomal RNA", at positions 338 to 795 of the family's 1533-position model. The record is from RNAcentral.